AACUUUUGGGAUGUUCAAUUCAAUGGUAUCGUUUGGCAGCUGAAGGUGGCAAAAAGGAUCUUAUUUCAAGGCUCAUGGAACUACUUCUGGGAUUGUACACUCCAUUGAUAUUCAUCCAUCAAGAAAACACACUUGUAUUCUGGCUAUUUUGGGAGGUUCUUUAUUAGGGACAUUCUUAUCUGAGAAGGUCAGAUUUUCUCAUUUGUCAGCCAAAAAACAUCCUUAAAAUAUAAUAGUUUUGAAACUAUACCCUUAUUUGGUCUGUGUUCUCAGUUUUCGAUUCGUCAAUAUGAUUGGCUAAUGGUGAUAUUUGC
Camellia sinensis is the source of this 314-nucleotide non-coding RNA. The record is from RefSeq and is a predicted model, not a curated record. Lineage: Eukaryota; Viridiplantae; Streptophyta; Magnoliopsida; Ericales; Theaceae.